RNAcentral lists this ribosomal RNA (206 nucleotides) under uncultured bacterium. Its description in RNAcentral is "partial 16S ribosomal RNA". It matches the Rfam family "Bacterial small subunit ribosomal RNA", at positions 568 to 774 of the family's 1533-position model. The record is from RNAcentral.
CACGUAGGCGGAUUUGUAAGUCAGGGGUGAAAUCCCGGGGCUCAACCUCGGAACUGCCUUUGAUACUGCAAAUCUCGAGUCCGGAAGAGGUGAGUGGAAUCCUAGUGUAGAGGUGAAAUUCGUAGAUAUUAGGAAGAACACCAGUGGCGAAGGCGGCUCACUGGUCCGGUACUGACGCUGAGGUGCGAAAGCGUGGGGAGCAAACA